GAUGAACGCUAGCGGCAGGCUUAACACAUGCAAGUCGAGGGGCAGCGUGGAGCAGCAAUGCUCUGACGGCGACCGGCGGAAGGGUGCGUAACACGUGAGCGACUUGCCCGUCACAGGGGGAUAACCGGCGGAAACGGCGACUAAUACCCCAUACGAUGCGAUGCUGCAUGGCAUUGCAUUGAAAGAUUCAUCGGUGGCGGAUAGGCUCGCGGGACAUUAGCUAGACGGCGGGGCAACGGCCCACCGUGGCGACGAUGUCUAGGGGUUCUGAGAGGAAGGCCCCCCACACUGGGACUGAGACACGGCCCAGACUCCUACGGGAGGCAGCAGUGAGGAAUAUUGGUCAAUGGGCGGAAGCCUGAACCAGCCAUGCCGCGUGAAGGACUAAGGCCCUACGGGUCGUAAACUUCUUUAGACGCAGAGCAAUAAGGUCCACGCGUGGACCGAUGAGAGUAUGCGUAGAAUAAGCAUCGG
RNAcentral lists this ribosomal RNA (474 nucleotides) under uncultured bacterium. Its description in RNAcentral is "bacterial SSU rRNA". It matches the Rfam family "Bacterial small subunit ribosomal RNA", at positions 28 to 496 of the family's 1533-position model. The record is from RNAcentral.